CGCCGCCAGCCGCGCUUCCGCUUCCGCCUUGGCGCGUAAGGCAGCUCGUUCCCGGGCUAGGUGCUCCGAAACCUAAGUGUACGACAAGGCGACGAGGCCCGCAGGCGGAAUUCCCAUGCAAGGAGUGAUUUUACGUCCUGACUACCCAUCCUGGCCAACUUCUUGGCCCCGGGGGUAGGUCCUUUGCAGAGUGCCGUACUACCCCGGAAUGUACGAUAUCAACCCAGGGGCCCCCCAUCCUGCUGAUGGGCGUGUACGUGAGUUUCAUUGAGCUCUAUUCUAAGGAGGUCUCCUCGCCUCCUUCCUGCACCUCCCUUUUCCCCUCCUCCCCUUCUUCCCCGCACUACGCGCGCAUACAUACGUACACACAUACACACGCACUCUCUCUCACUCUCUCUCCCGUACCUACCUGCUGUGUGAGGUUGUUGACUUGUGCCAGGGCAUCCGCCAGGGCCCCCUGGAGCGCCGAAUUUCGUCCUGCCGCCUCCACAUGCAAGGCCCUCAGAGCCGCCCGCACCUCCCGCAGAGCCCCCUCCCUGGAGUCCAGGACCUGGCGCGCGGCAGCCAGCUCCGACUCCGCCUCGCCCAGCUGGGCCUGCGGGAGUGGGGGGAGGGCGGAAGGGAGCGGGUCGGAUAGGGGGGCCUCGUCAGCAGCACAUACACACAGCACGCAUACGGCACAGCAACACGUGGCGCCGUACACCACCAG
This 709-nucleotide long non-coding RNA is filed under the name Volvox carteri. RNAcentral's name for it is "long non-coding RNA (VCAR_LNC000889)". Lineage: Eukaryota; Viridiplantae; Chlorophyta; Chlorophyceae; Chlamydomonadales; Volvocaceae. The record is from RNAcentral.